AAAAAGUUUUAUUUUAGCUUGAAAAUUAAUUUUUUAUUAUUUAUGUAUAUAUUAGUUGAAUUUUAAAUAUAUAGUUUAGUAGCAUAUAGAUUUAAAAAUGAGGUUAUUCUUGAUUUGGAUAUAUAAAUUUAAUUUAAACUAAGGUUGUGCCAGCAGUUGCGGUUAAACAAUCUAUAUAAGUUAAUUUUUUUUUAUUUAAUUAGAUUGGUAUAUUUUUAAAUUUAAAUUGAAAUUUUUUAGAUGAAAUUUUAUAUUUUAAUUAAAUUUAGUUUUAGAUAUUGAAGUUAAUAAAUUAAGUUUUUAAACUAGGAUUAGAUACCCUAUUAUUUUUAAUGUAUUAAGUAUAUAAAAAUUAGUAAAAGUUAAGUUCUUGAAAAUUAAAAAAUUUGGCGGUAUAUUAGUCUUUUCAGAGGAACUUGUCUAGUAAACGAUAAUCCACGAUAUAUUUAACCUUAUUUUUAAGUUUGUAUAUCGUUGUAUUAAGAAUAUUUUUUAAGAAGAAUAAUGUUCAAUAUUUUUAAUUUGAAUUUAAUUCAGAUCAAGGUGUAGUUAAUAGUAAGGUUAGGAUGAGUUACAUUAUUAAUAUUUGUGGUUUUAAAUUUUAAAAGUUUAAUUAAAUUGGAUUUGAAAGUAAUGAUUUAUUUUUUUUUAAGUUGUGAUUUUAGCUCUAAUAUAUGUACAUAUUGCCCGUCGCUUUCAUUAUGUUGAAAUAAGUCGUAACAAAGUAGACUUAUUGGAAAAUGAGUCUAGAAAAAC
This 756-nucleotide non-coding RNA is filed under the name Tenebrionoidea sp. 23 KM-2017. Lineage: Eukaryota; Metazoa; Arthropoda; Insecta; Coleoptera. The record is from RNAcentral.